AUGAGUUGGAAUCGACUCGACGGUAAUGGGUUUGGUUUUUUUUUUAAUUAACAGAAGGUAAUCCAAUCAUUUUUUUUUUUAAUCCAAUCAUAGUCGAGGUAUCAUUAGUUUCAGUCAAGUCUGUGAUAACUAAGUAUAUGCGUUAAGAGAGCAAAGCAACUGGAGACUUUCUUGUAAUGAAAACCAGUGUUUCUGAGCACAGAGAAGAGUCUACAGUAUUCCAGGAAUUGCACAGCUAGAAGGAAGAAAAGAAUGCACUCAAGCAGCUACCAGAGUAUUCACUACAUAAAACCACUCUUUCUGGCGUUGACCACAUCACUCACGUGUUCCGGUAUCUUCCCCUUUCAGAGGAGAGAGGCAACUCAGCUAGCAAGGAGGUGGGACACUUACCUUCUGCUUUUCACUUUGUGAUUUUAAACCUGCCCUUGUGAAGUGGAAUGACCCUGCUCUCCAGGCAGCAGAGCACGCUGGGUCAUGACUUAAGGGGCACAACAGAGAAAAAAGGUCAGAGAGUAAUACAUUUGACAGCCCAAAAAAAGAUGCCAGAAGGUGGACCAAGUCUGAAAUCUGUAAUUUUUCAGGGUCCUUGGCAGAGAAAGGAACUUUGCAAACAACUUAAGGAGAUGCCUUGAGCCUCUGCAGAAAGAGGAACAAAAUAUUUCUGGUCAAGAAGAGAAGACAGCAAAAAUAAAUUCUGAAGAAGUUAUUCAAGAGAAAAAUUCAAUAUUCAACGUGGAAUUUGAUGGGAGCAUAGGAAGUAAUCUCUCUGCUCUUGCUUGGGAAGAAAAAAGACUAUAGUAUUUCAAUACUCUCAGUUUUAUCAAAUAUGUAGUAGUGUUCUUUUACAUAAAACAUAGGUGGAGAAACAGUUUCCCAAACUUCUUGGGCUUUCGGUGUCAGAUCUAUUUUAUACAUAUUUUCUACCAGAGUCAGUGAAAUAAAGUGCUUGAAAAAUAAGCAAAGUUUCUCUGCCCCUUUCAAAUGCAACAGAAAGGCUCUAAAGAGAAAAUUAAAACAGUGAGGACCUUGCCAUACAAACGGCCCCAAACCAUAACAGUCCUCCAGGUAGCUCCGGCUCAAAUGAAGCUCAUUCAAGAACUACAGUGACGCCAAAGCAGGCUCCCAUUUCUCACGUACCAACAUGGUGGGACAGCACUCUAAGUUGUUUGUUUUCUAGCUUACUUGGAAAUUUUAAGUCAGACUGUUAACGACUGUUAACGUCUGUCGGAUAAUACCGUGGCUGCUUAAUACCAUUUAUCAUUCCUUGUCUGAGGACACCAUCUGACAACAAGAUAAACUGCACUAAGGCUUUCAUCUCUGUCCUCCCAGAAAGCUGACAGCUGCACAUCAAAUGCGAUUGAUAGAAUGUGUAUAUGAUGGUGUGUCUUUCAAGGCGAUUGCUGGUCCACAAAAUGUUACUCUUUCUCCAACUGUUCAUUGCUUGUUGCUGUUGUCAGCUGCUGUCGAGCUGGCUCCAACUCACAGCAACUUUAUGUAUCAGAGAAUGAAACGCUCCCCAGUCCUGAGCCAUCCUCACAAUCAUUGGUGUAUCUGAGCCCAUUGUUGCCGCUGUUAGGUCAAUCUGUCUCAUAGAAGGUUUCCCUCAUUUUCAGUGACCCCUACUUUACCAGACAUGAUGUUCAUUGCUCAGUAUCUGUUGUGUCCCUGUGUAAAUACUUCUAAACGUGUGUUCCUCAAUGAUUCCUAUGGAUGUGUGUAAAACUAGGAAACUGGAUCAGAAAUAAAGACUUACAUAAUCACCACCACCACAGACACUUCUUGCCUUGAAGCACCAUCUUCCAAAAUUUUCCUGAUGGCCCUGCUUCUAGUUACUCUGUGGCAGCCUGCUAUAUCUCAUCUGCCCACAAAUGAGGCUUUUAUUACACUGUAUCUUUUAAACACUUCUUUUCUCCUUCUACUGGCUUAGCAGUUUUCACUUCUCUGAUCUUCACUCCGCAGGUUAUGUUACCUCAAUCUAUCACUUUUUUUUUUAGCUCAGUCUUAUCCAAAAGCAAAAUAUUCUAUCCGGCCUUUUUUCUCUAGUCAUAAAUGUUGGUAAAGUUGACACCUCCAAUUAAAAGAAGCUCUUAAUGUCAAGUUCUGUGGCAGGAACGUGAUAAAAGGGGCCACAAAAGGAGCUGGAAUCAAUGGUAACCUUAUUACAGAUUGUUGCUGGCUUGGCCCAGAUGGGCAGACUCCAUUAAUUAUGAAAGUGUGAUUUCUCUUUUCACUGCAUUCAUCACUGGCAAGAAAAAACACACGCAACUACACCAACAACGUAAGACAGAAUGCUCCUGAUGUUGUGUGCCAUUUGCCAAUAUGUUUGUAUUUGGAAAAAAAAAAUCCCUUCAUUUCAUGUACUUUAUUUAAAGACCCUUGCUUUAUUUAAGGAAUGUUUAAAGUCAUGUGGUAGAGGAGAAAACUCAGAAAGUUACAUAAAAACAGGCACAGAGAGCAAAUAACAUCCGCAUAGACAAAGCAUCUCGUUCCUCCCUUUGAGCACUUCGAGUAUACCUAUUCUCCACGGCAUACGUGGGCUCUCCAGAGGAUGUUUCCUUAAUUAAACCUGAAGGUAAUUAAAAUCAACAUUUUUUUGGAGCUGCAAGGAAAAGACAUUCAAAACAAAUUAAUUUCAAAUAGAAAGUGUGGACAGAGAGACUGCAAUGUUAAGAAAGAAUUAAUGUGUGAUCUCUGAACAAAUGGCUGCCUGAGGGUGUGCCGCUGCGUGUACAAAUAGCCAUGCUGCCGUAACAGAGAGCUGGGCGUCGUUUUCUUUCAUUACGUUUUCCUCUUCUAUCCUUUUCAUUCCCAAUGACCUCACCUUCAAUUUAAUUACAGGGCUGACAAAUACUCCACAGUCCAGAAAAAUUGUAGCAAAAUCAAUGAAAAAACUUUUAAAGAGAGCUUUUUUCAUGUAAUACUAUAUAAAAUAUUUAAAUUUCCAUUUUUUUUU
Molecule: long non-coding RNA, 2953 nt
Organism: Loxodonta africana (African savanna elephant)
Lineage: Eukaryota; Metazoa; Chordata; Mammalia; Proboscidea; Elephantidae
Exons: 3
Source: RefSeq, a predicted model, not a curated record